AGCAGCCGCGGUAAUUCCAGCUCCAAUAGCGUAUAUUAAAGUUGUUGCAGUUAAAAAGCUCGUAGUUGAAUUUCGGGAUUGACACAUCGGUCGUGCCUUAAGGGGUAUGAACUGGUGUAGUCAAUUUCUCACCUUCUGGAGAACCGCGAUGCCCUUAAUUGGGUGUCACGGGGAACCAGGACCUUUACUUUGAAAAAUUAGAGUGUUUAAAGCAGGCAUUUUGCUUGAAUACAUUAGCAUGGAAUAAUAAAAUAGGACGGCAUGAUUCUAUUUUGUUGGUUUCUAGGAUCACCGUAAUGAUUAAUAGGGAUAGUUGGGGGCAUUAGUAUUCAAUUGUCAGAGGUGAAAUUCUUGGAUUUAUUGAAGACUAACUACUGCGAAAGCAUUUGCCAAGGAUGUUUUCAUUAAUCAAGAACGAAAGUUAGGGGAUCGAAGACGAUCAGAUACCGUCGUAGUCUUAACCAUAAACUAUGCCGACUAGGAAUCAGACGAUGUUAAUUUUUAAUGACUCGUUUGCACC
RNAcentral lists this ribosomal RNA (520 nucleotides) under uncultured Entrophospora. Its description in RNAcentral is "SSU rRNA". It matches the Rfam family "Eukaryotic small subunit ribosomal RNA", at positions 569 to 1086 of the family's 1831-position model. The record is from RNAcentral. Lineage: Eukaryota; Fungi; Glomeromycota; Glomeromycetes; Entrophosporales; Entrophosporaceae.